RNAcentral lists this ribosomal RNA (2898 nucleotides) under Clostridioides difficile. Its description in RNAcentral is "23S ribosomal RNA". It matches the Rfam family "Bacterial large subunit ribosomal RNA". The record is from RNAcentral. Lineage: Bacteria; Bacillati; Bacillota; Clostridia; Peptostreptococcales; Peptostreptococcaceae.
GGUCAAGUUAUUAAGGGUGCAGGGCGGAUGCCUUGGCACUAGGAGCCGAUGAAGGACGUGAUAAGCUGCGAUAAGCUUCGGGGAGUUGCACGUAAACUUUGAGCCGAAGAUUUCCGAAUGAGGAAACUCACUUAGAGUAAUGUCUAAGUAUCAUUAAGUGAAUACAUAGCUUAAUGAGGGGAACUCAGGGAACUGAAACAUCUAAGUACCUGAAGGAAGAGAAAGAAAUUCGAUUCCGUAAGUAGCGGCGAGCGAACGCGGAUUAGCCCAAACCAAUAAAGUUUUCUUUAUUGGGGUUGCGGACAUAUCAUAACGAAGAGGUAUCGUAAUUGAAGAGGUUUGGAAAGACCCACCACAGAAGGUAAUAGUCCUGUAUGUUAAACGAGAAGACUUCAGAUAUGAUCCAGAGUACCACGGGACACGUGAAACCCUGUGGGAAGCAGGAGGGACCACCCUCCAAGGCUAAAUACUACCUAGUGACCGAUAGCGUAUAGUACCGUGAGGGAAAGGUGAAAAGAACCCCGGGAGGGGAGUGAAAUAGAACCUGAAACCCUGCACUUACAAGCUGUGGAAGCACAUUUCUUGUGUGACCGCGUACUUUUUGUAGAACGGGCCAACGAGUUACGUUAAGUAGCAAGGUUAAGCACUUAAGGUGUGGAGCCGUAGCGAAAGCGAGUUUUAACUGAGCGUUCAGUUACUUGACGUAGACCCGAAACCGGGCGACCUACCCAUGAGCAGGAUGAAGCGAAAGUAAAAUUUCGUGGAGGUCCGAACCCACGAGCGUUGAAAAGCUCGGGGAUGACUUGUGGGUAGCGGUGAAAUUCCAAUCGAGCCCGGAGAUAGCUGGUUCUCCCCGAAAUAGCUUUAGGGCUAGCCUCAAGGUGAGAGAUACGGAGGUAGAGCACUGAAUGUCCUAGGGGGUAUUGCACCUACCGAAGACUAUCAAACUCCGAAUGCCGUCAUCUUAUACUUGGGAGUCAGACUGUGGGUGAUAAGAUUCAUAGUCGAAAGGGCAACAGCCCAGAUCGUCAGCUAAGGUCCCUAAAUGUAAGUUAAGUGGUAAAGGAUGUGGGAUUGCACAGACAACCAGGAUGUUGGCUUAGAAGCAGCCACUCAUUCAAAGAGUGCGUAAUAGCUCACUGGUCGAGUGAUCCUGCGCCGAAGAUUUCCGGGGCUAAAACUUACUACCGAAGCUACGGCAUCAGUAAUGAUGGGUAGGGGAGCUUCCCAUACGGGUUGAAGCAUGACCGUAAGGACAUGUGGACAGUAUGGGAGUGAGAAUGUUGGCAUGAGUAGCGAGAUGUGGGUGAGAAUCCCACAGGCCGUAAACCCAAGGUUUCCAGGGGAAGGUUCGUCCGCCCUGGGUUAGUCGGGACCUAAGCUGAGGCCGAAAGGCGUAGGUGAUGGACAACAGGUUGAUAUUCCUGUACUACCGAUAACCGUUUGAGAGAAGGGAUGACACAGUAGGAUAAGCUAAGCACACUGUUGGUUAUGUGUGCCCAAGCAUUGAGGCAGUCAAAGUAGGCAAAUCCGCUUUGAUAAUGCUGGGAUGUGAUGGGGAGCGAAAUUUAGUAGCGAAGUAGCUGAUUUCACACUGUCAAGAAAAGUCUCUAUCGAGGUUAAAGGUACCCGUACCGCAAACCGACACAGGUGGGUGAGGAGAGUAUCCUAAGGCCAGCGAGAGAACUGUUGUUAAGGAACUCGGCAAAAUGACCCCGUAACUUAGGGAUAAGGGGUGCCACCAUCAGGUGGCCGCAGAGAAUAGGCCCAAGCGACUGUUUACCAAAAACAUAGGUUUCUGCUAAGUCGCAAGACGAUGUAUAGGAGCUGACGCCUGCCCGGUGCUGGAAGGUUAAGGGGAUCUGUUAGAGCAAUCGAAGCAGUGAACUUAAGCCCCAGUAAACGGCGGCCGUAACUAUAACGGUCCUAAGGUAGCGAAAUUCCUUGUCGGGUAAGUUCCGACCCGCACGAAAGGCGUAACGAUUUGGGCACUGUCUCAACAACAGACUCGGUGAAAUUGUAAUUCCGGUGAAGAUGCCGGAUACCUGCGACAGGACGGAAAGACCCCAUGGAGCUUUACUGUAGCUUGACAUUGGGUCUUGGUACUACAUGUACAGGAUAGGUGGGAGGCUUUGAAACCAGGACGCCAGUUUUGGCGGAGCCAUCCUUGGGAUACCACCCUUGUAGUACUGGGACUCUAACCAUAGGCCAUGAAUCUGGUCUUGGGACACUGUCAGGUGGGCAGUUUGACUGGGGCGGUCGCCUCCCAAAAGGUAACGGAGGCGCUCAAAGGUUCUCUCAGUACGGUCGGAAAUCGUACGUAGAGUGUAAAGGCAAAAGAGAGCUUGAUUGCAAGACAUACAGGUCGAGCAAGGAUGAAAAUCGGACUUAGUGAUCCGGUGGUUCUGCGUGGAAGGGCCAUCGCUCAACGGAUAAAAGCUACCCUGGGGAUAACAGGCUUAUCUCCCCCAAGAGUCCACAUCGACGGGGAGGUUUGGCACCUCGAUGUCGGCUCAUCACAUCCUGGGGCUGUAGUAGGUCCCAAGGGUUGGGCUGUUCGCCCAUUAAAGUGGUACGCGAGCUGGGUUCAGAACGUCGUGAGACAGUUCGGUCCCUAUCCGUCGCAGGCGUAGGAAAUUUGAGAAGACCUGUCCUUAGUACGAGAGGACCGGGAUGGACGUACCUCUGGUGUACCAGUUGUUCUGCCAAGGGCAUGGCUGGGUAGCUAUGUACGGAAUGGAUAAGCGCUGAAAGCAUCUAAGCGCGAAGCCAACUUCAAGAUAAGAUUUCCCACCGUAAGGGUAAGCCCCCAGAAAGACUAUCUGGUUGAUAGGUCGAAGGUGUAAGUGCAGCAAUGUAUUUAGCUUAUCGAUACUAAUAGGUCGAGGACUUGACCAA